Molecule: long non-coding RNA, 2328 nt
Organism: Oncorhynchus tshawytscha (Chinook salmon)
Lineage: Eukaryota; Metazoa; Chordata; Actinopteri; Salmoniformes; Salmonidae
Source: Ensembl
CAGGACAUCCAGCUGAAGGAGAUAUGAGGCCCCUAGGACAUCCAGCUGAAGGAGAUAUGAGGCCCCCAGGACAUCCAGCUGAAGGAGAUAUGAGGCCCCCAGGACAUCCAGCUGAAGGAGAUAUGAGGCCCCCAGGACAUCAGGACAUCCAGCUGAAGGAGAUGUGGCCCCCAGGACAUCCAGCUGAAGGAGAUAUGAGGCCCCUAGGACAUCCAGCUGAAGGAGAUAUGAGGCCCCUAGGACAUCCAGCUGAAGGAGAUAUGAGGCCCCCAGGACAUCCAGCUGAAGGAGAUAUGAGGCCCCCAGGACAUCCAGCUGAAGGAGAUAUGAGGCCCCUAGGACAUCCAGUGAUCAACAGUCAUACGUUGAAGGGAACAUUAUAUCACUGUAACCCCUGUAGUAAAACAAAACAGGAGUUUAUGAUCUAUGCAUAGCCACUUUACCCCUACCUACAUGUACAAGUCCAUGCUAGGUAAAGCUCCGCCUUAUCUCAGUUCACUGUUCACGAUGGCAACACCCACCCAUAGCACGCGCUCCAGCAGGUGUAUCUCACUGAUCAUCCCUAAAGCCAACACCUCAUUUGGCCACCUUUCGUUCCAGUUCUCUGCUGCCUGUGACUGGAACGAAUUGCAAAAAUCGCUGAAGUUGGAGACUUUUAUCUCCCUCACCAACUUCAAACAUCUGCUAUCUGAGCAGCUAACCGAUCGCUGCAGCUGUACAUAGUCCAUGGUAAAUAGCCCACCCAAUUCACCUACCUCUUCCCCAUACUGUUUAUAUUUAUUUACUUUUCUGCUCUUUUGCACACCAAUAUCUCUACCUGUACAUGACCAUCUGAUCAUUUAUCACUCCAGUGUUAUUAAUCUGCAAAAUUGUAAUUAUUCGCCUACCUCCUCAUGCCUUUUGCACACAACGUAUAUAGACUCCCUUUUUUUUCUACUGUGUUAUUGACUUGUUAAUUGUUUACUCCAUGUGUAACUCUGUGUUGUCUGUUCAGACUGCUAUGCUUUAUCUUGGCCAGGUCGCAGUUGCAAAUGAGAACUUGUUCUCAACUAGCCUACCUGGUUAAAUAAAGGUGAAAUAAAAUAAAUUUAAAAAACAAAUUAACUCGACUAACCUGUACACCCGCACAUUGACUAUGUACCGGUAACCCCUCAUUACUAACCAGUACCCCUUGUAAAUAGCCUCAUUAUUGUUAUUUUAUUCUGUUACAUUUUUAGUAUUUAAUUUUUUACAACUUUUGUUUAUUUAUUAAAUAUUUUAACUAUAUUUCUUGAACUGCAUUGUUGGUUAAGGGCUUGUAAGUAGCAUUUCAUGGUUAGGUCUGCUACACCAGUUGUAUUCGGCAUUUCAUGGUUAGGUCUGCUACACCAGUUGUAUUCGGCAUUUCCUGGUUAGGUCUGCUACACCAGUUGUAUUCGGCAUUUCAUGGUUAGGUCUGCUACACCGGUUGUAUUGGGCAUUUCAUGGUUAGGUCUACUACACCGGUUGUAUUCGGCUCAUGUGACAUAACAUUUUAUUUGAUUUGUGUUACACACUCAAUGAUAACAUGCCAAACAAUAAUUCUCACUAAACCAGCACCCCAGGGUUCCUAAAAGUGUGACCCUCACAGCAGGGGUUGCGUUAUAGGUCAGGAAGUCCCCAAUCUGGUCCAUAAUCACUGUUGGAAGAAAUUCACAAGAGGUCAGUGCAUUCAAGGAAUAUCAAAAAUUAUAUAUUUAUUUGUUUUUGAAAAAGUGUACCCAUGUGCAGUAUCAUACCGGAGCGCCAAGUCAAGGUCCAAGAGGCUUCUAAACAGCUUCCAUCCCCAAACCAUGAGACUCCUGAACAUCUAGUCAGAUGGCUACCCAGACUAUUUGCAUUGCCCCCCCCAUCCUCCUCUUCCACGCUGCUGCUACUCUCUGUUAUUAUCUACGCAUAGUCAGUUUAAUAACUCUACUUAAAUGUACAUAUUACCUCAAUUACCUCGACACAGGUGCCCCCUGUACAUAGGGGGGAUGCGUCACUGCAAACUUUAAGGUCCUCAAUGAUGUCACCAUUGCCCUAGAUUCUAAGCAAUAUUGUGCUGCUAUUUUUAUUGACUUGGAAAAAGCUUUUGAUACGGUAGACCAUUCCAUUCUUGUGGGCCGGCUAAGGAGUAUUGGUGUCUCUGAGGGGUCUUUGGCCUGGUUUGCUAACUAUCUCUCUCAAAGAGUACAGUGUAUAAAGUCAGAACAUCUGCUGUCUCAGCCACUGCCUGUCACCAAGGGUGUACCCCAAGGCUCGAUCCUAGGCCCCACGCUCUUCUCAAUUUACAUCAACAACAUAGCUCAGGCAGUAGGAAGCUCUCUC